This 435-nucleotide ribosomal RNA is filed under the name uncultured bacterium. RNAcentral describes it as "bacterial SSU rRNA". It matches the Rfam family "Bacterial small subunit ribosomal RNA", at positions 43 to 524 of the family's 1533-position model. The record is from RNAcentral.
CAGGCCUAACACAUGCAAGUCGAACGAAGGCUUCGGCCUUAGUGGCGCACGGGUGCGUAACGCGUGGGAAUCUGCCCUUGGGUUCGGAAUAACAGUUAGAAAUGACUGCUAAUACCGGAUGACGACGUAAGUCCAAAGAUUUAUCGCCCAAGGAUGAGCCCGCGUAGGAUUAGCUAGUUGGUGAGGUAAAGGCUCACCAAGGCGACGAUCCUUAGCUGGUCUGAGAGGAUGAUCAGCCACACUGGGACUGAGACACGGCCCAGACUCCUACGGGAGGCAGCAGUGGGGAAUAUUGGACAAUGGGCGCAAGCCUGAUCCAGCCAUGCCGCGUGAGUGAUGACGGCCCUAGGGUUGUAAAGCUCUUUUACCUGGGAAGAUAAUGACGGUACCAGGAGAAUAAGCCCCGGCUAACUUCGUGCCAGCAGCCGCGGUAAU